Molecule: long non-coding RNA, 628 nt
Organism: Fukomys damarensis (Damara mole-rat)
Lineage: Eukaryota; Metazoa; Chordata; Mammalia; Rodentia; Bathyergidae
Exons: 3
Source: RefSeq, a predicted model, not a curated record
AGGCCCUCAGCAUCGGGGAUGGAAGGAUCGCAGUGCUCAUCUACAGGAUCAGAGGCGAAAGAAUCCAAAACGGGACACUGCAUGCUGGAGAUCCAGAGGAUCCAGGAGAAGGCGCAGGGUGAGGACCCGGAAGCUCACCGGAGAGGUACCGGGAGGGAUCUCUGUUGGAAGACUUGAAGAGUCUGAACCGAAACAUUGAAGGAAUUUGGACCGAUGUUCAAAUCGAAAGAUUUCACAGGGAAAGGUGCUUCAAAAAUUAAGUGUGUAACAGUGAAGUAACUGAUAAAAGUGGCAGACUGAACCCCUGGGAGAGCCACAGUGUGAAGAUAAACUCGGGCAGCAGAAAAACCACUGGCUGCAAAGACUGAUAAUGACACAGACAUGGCAAGAACAGCAGCAGGGCAUGUGCGUAUGGCAGCAAAGAUAUAAACUAGAUGACUCCGGGGCCAUGAAAAGAAGCUUUACUCCUAAAAAGGGACUUCUGGAACAGAUGCAAAAGCAGAUCGAUGAGAUUACAUCUCAAGUGAGAGAAGAGAAAAGUCCUCCUUUCCUUUGGAAUAGGGACUCAGAAUAGAACCUCCAUGUUCCAUAUCACCAUGCAGACUGUCACCAUAUGGACAGCAGUGCA